Molecule: signal recognition particle RNA, 94 nt
Filed under: Coriobacteriia bacterium
Lineage: Bacteria; Bacillati; Actinomycetota; Coriobacteriia
Description: signal recognition particle sRNA small type
Rfam family: Bacterial small signal recognition particle RNA
About the family: The signal recognition particle (SRP) is a universally conserved ribonucleoprotein involved in the co-translational targeting of proteins to membranes. Archaeal SRP consists of a 7S RNA and homologues of the eukaryotic SRP19 and SRP54 proteins.
Source: RNAcentral
AGAUGGGCUGGGGCGGUGACAUGGUUCGAACCUGGUCAGGUCCGGGAGGAAGCAGCCAUAAGGACCCUCUGACGCGCGCCCCCGCCUUUCUGCG